UGACCGUGCGAAGGUAGCAUAAUCAUUAGUCUUUUAAUUGAAGGCUUGUAUGAAUGGUUGGACGAGAAGUAAUCUGUCUCUAUUAAAAAAAUUGAAUUUAACUUUUGAGUGAGAAGGCUUAAAUGAUCUAGAGGGACGAUAAGACCCUAUAAAGUUUAACAUUAUAAUAACAAAAAGUUGAUUGGUUUAAAGAACUUAUUAUUAUGAAUAGUGUUUUGUUGGGGCGACAAGAAUAUAAAUAAUUUAACUGUUCUUUUUUGUAUCAAAAAUAUUUGUGUUAAUGAUCUUUUUAAGAGUAUUAGAGUAAAUUACUUUAGGGAUAACAGCGUAAUUUUUUUUGAGAGUUCUUAUCGACAAAAGAGUUUGCGACCUCGAUGUUGAAUUAAAGAUUCUUUAUAGUGCAGAAGCUAUAUAAGAAGGUCUGUUCGACCUUUAAAUCUUUACAUGAUUUGAGUUCAGACCGGUGUGAGCCAGGUUGGUUUCUAUCUA
RNAcentral lists this ribosomal RNA (489 nucleotides) under Euastacus dangadi. RNAcentral describes it as "partial 16S ribosomal RNA". It matches the Rfam family "Archaeal large subunit ribosomal RNA", at positions 2020 to 2713 of the family's 2987-position model. Lineage: Eukaryota; Metazoa; Arthropoda; Malacostraca; Decapoda; Parastacidae. The record is from RNAcentral.